This 274-nucleotide ribosomal RNA is filed under the name uncultured bacterium. RNAcentral's name for it is "partial 16S ribosomal RNA". It matches the Rfam family "Bacterial small subunit ribosomal RNA", at positions 523 to 796 of the family's 1533-position model. The record is from RNAcentral.
AAACGGGGGGUGCAAGCGUUAUUCGGAUUUAUUGGGCGUAAAGGGCGCGUAGGCGGCUUGGUAAGUCAGAUGUGAAAGCCCGGGGCUCAACCCCGGAAGUGCAUUUGAAACUAUCAGGCUUGAGUAUGGGAGAGGGAAGUGGAAUUCCUGGUGUAGAGGUGAAAUUCGUAGAUAUCAGGAGGAACACCGGUGGCGAAGGCGACUUCCUGGACCAAUACUGACGCUGAGGCGCGAAGGCGUGGGGAGCAAACAGGAUUAGAAACCCGAGUAGUCC